Puccinia sorghi is the source of this 87-nucleotide non-coding RNA. The record is from the annotation of a GenBank genome assembly. Lineage: Eukaryota; Fungi; Basidiomycota; Pucciniomycetes; Pucciniales; Pucciniaceae.
UUGGAUGCUUGCUUGCUGGCCCAGGAUCAACUGUAACUUUAUUAGAAUGUUGAUUUCCUGGGCCAGCAAGCAAACAUCCACCCACGU